Bombus terrestris (buff-tailed bumblebee) is the source of this 1460-nucleotide long non-coding RNA. RefSeq lists it as uncharacterized. The record is from RefSeq and is a predicted model, not a curated record. The transcript is spliced from 2 exons. Lineage: Eukaryota; Metazoa; Arthropoda; Insecta; Hymenoptera; Apidae.
AUGGCACACGGUUACGCUUUUAGCGUGCAAAAAUACCGUGAGAAUUAUCGUUUCUAAAUACAUAUAAUUAAGAUUCACAAUGAAAUAUACUGGAUGAAAAUGAUAUAGAGCUGCAAUGAUAUUGGUGAAACAGUAAAGGUCAACUUUUACUAAUUAUUGUUUGGGCAGAGGGGACUUAAUACUACAGGAAUACGAAUUUAUUAAAUAACUUCCAUUAAUACGUAUAGCUUCUUAACUCUAAAAUAACCAGCUUCUAUAGCGAAGAUAAAGUAGGUAUAUUUUCCGAUAUUGAUAAAAAUCAACGCUAAUUUGCUUAUAUGAUGUUCUUAGUUAUUGUGAGAUAAAAAAGAAAAGUAAAAUCCAUCGCCACAAGCAUUUUGAUUUUUCUAUGAAUUCAUGAUAGCACGCUACAUAGAUAUAUAUGUAUAUGUAUAUAUAUAUAUAUAUUGUACUCAUCUAAUAUCGGAAUAACCACAGAUUGAUUACAAGGAAAAUUUAUGACGGAGCAACAGGAAAGCACAGAAGGAAAGAAAGCACUAUCCUUUAUGGGUUUUUAGAACGAGAGUCAGAAUUUACGUCAUUGUGAUUUCCAAGAGACCGGUUCCUCGGCACUGAUCUUUUUCCUUUUAUUCGCAGGACUCCUUAAGACCGUGUAAACGUGUUUAAUGCGCAUAGAUCUUUCUUAGUGCACGUUUUAAGCGUACGUCAAACAUCAAUUUCGCGAGAUCAUACUUAAUUUUGACUUUUAUACAUUCUAUUUUCUCUACGUAAACAUCAUGAAAGAUGCACGACUCGAAGAAACUUAUAUAUUUGUAUUUCCUAUUUAUCGAGAUAUCCCUAAAACGCUACGGAAGUAUAGUAGAGUUAUUAUGAAAACGCAUGUAUAAUCGUCGUUUUCAGAUGCAAGCGACGACCUUGAAAACAGCGACAUAACAAGAUCUCGAUAGCCCUAUAAGUACUGUUGGUAAUUAAUAGCGACAAUGAUAAAAGCGAUAGUGGUCGCAUGCAACUGGCCAUUGCCUGUUUCAGUAAUUAAGUUUCAACAUCGAUGAGGUUAUCAUGAUAUUCCGGCUAGGCUAUUAGUCUACAAGGGGACCUGAAGGUGGAAUGAGUAAAGUUAUUAUACGUCUAUUAUAGUUUGUGAUAAUAUAUUAGAAUCCAUUAACUGACUAGCAAGUUACAAAUGACUUAUACUUACUUAUUGCUUCCUACUCAUUACUUGUUCCAUUCUCUCGUUAUUUCUGUUAAUUGUACGAUACUUUUACAGGACUCCCUUUCGAACUACGCUUUUUUAAAAUAAGGAAAUAUAACAAAAAUAAAUUAUGAUUAAUAAGUUAGUCAAUUCAAGCUGGAAUGACAUUGUACCUAUAUAUAUGAAUGUAUCGAAAAGUAUACUUUAAACGAGUCUUUGCACUUUGCAUUACUGAAUGAAUAAAGCAUAAAUCUUUGUUUUAUCUAAA